Molecule: long non-coding RNA, 358 nt
Filed under: Androctonus crassicauda
Lineage: Eukaryota; Metazoa; Arthropoda; Arachnida; Scorpiones; Buthidae
Source: RNAcentral
CUUGACUUGCCAAACACUACUGUCAAGUCAGAAAUGCCAAAAAUUUGUGGAUUGUCCACUACCAAUAUCUAUUAUAAUACUCCACUUUCUUGUACUUGUUAUCAGAAUAAUCAGACAGAACUUUUUUUGUAUAUUAGAUCAUUUGGUUGGGGACUCAAACCUUUUGUCAGUUGCAUUGGGCCAAUCACAAAAUUUAUCAAUGGCAUCACAAUCUUAAGUACAAGUGCUUGUAAAUCAAGGACUACCCAUAUUUAUAAUUUUGAAUAAUAAAUAACUGUCUAUUUAUACAUUAACUUUUAGAAUUAUUCAGAGUUAUAUUAUUAGAGAAGAAGCUGGUGCAUUAGCAACAAAUUCCAUG